GUUCAUAUGUUUGUUGUCCUCGUGCGCCAUCACUGUCGUGCUUAGUAACAUAGAAUUUAACCCCGUUCGAUCUUCUGGAUCCAACACCAGCUUCCUGGCAUCAACCGUUAUGCUGCUAUUUAAUCCCAUUGCUUUAUUGUGAGACAUCCACUAGCUUGCAGGAUAUGUGCCUUUUUUAUGCGGAGGUGUUAGAGCCUAAUGCAACGGUUUGUGACUGCUUUAUAGACUAAUGAACUGUGAGUUGUCUUUCGGUGCAGCGUAUUUUAAGGCAAUUUGAUUCGCUUCACUCCUUGGUGCUUCUUUUUGAAUGAUUCAGCCAAUGCAUCAUCAUCGACUCCAACAAAUCUCGAGAUCGUUAUAAAUAACUGGCAAAGGAAUGUUAAAAGUCGAUGCAUGGACGUCAAGACAACUAUGAAGAAGAAAUACGCCAAAGAGAAGGAGAAAGAAGGGAAGAACACGCAGAUGAAGGCGUCGUCGGCAAUGGCCGUAGUGGGGCUAAUAAUGGUGCUGGGGAUCUGGUCCUCCCGGGGCUUCUCUCUUCCUGUCACCGACUAUCAGAACCCUCCCCCUCCACUCGAGCUUCCAAGCUAAGCUGUGGUAUUCGAUCGCACUUACUUUGAUGUUCUCAUCCCAACGCUCGCCGCCGCGAUGAUAGGGCCGUGCUUCAUCCGUGCGCAGGAAACCAACACACAGGAGCAGGAAGAGCGCAGCUUUGCACCAAGCCGCCAUGCGACGUUUGCACCGAGUUGUGAUGGUACAUCCAUGCCUCCCUCUCUCCUUAUAUAAGUAAGCAUGUCGGCAGUGUCUCCAUCGGUCUAUGGCGGCAUGGGCUCCAGAAAAAUCCAGCCAACAAAACACUUGUGCAUCCCCGCCGCAAUCGCCGCCAUGUCGUGAGUCUCCAUUAUUCUCUCUAUAUGCAUAAACAAUCAGUAGCUCGUUGAGAUGCUAAGCGCGCAAUGGAGAUCAAGGUCCAUGUCGAGGUGCGCAUCUCCUGUUUGACAGAAUGCGUGUGAUACAUAAUGAUAAUAUAGUUAGCUAUAGCUAAAUGCUAUAGGUUGUUGGAUCAUGACAGACUGGAGAAGGCCACUUUUAUUAUUUUUAUGAUGCAAUUUGCUCUUAUGGCAAAUAGCAAUUGCGAUCACCUACUAAUAUGUUUCAGCACACACCAACGUGCAAUAAAAUUUUGUACAGAAAUCUGCCGAGGA
This is a long non-coding RNA of Musa acuminata AAA Group (dessert banana), 1205 nucleotides long. RefSeq lists it as uncharacterized. The transcript is spliced from 2 exons. Lineage: Eukaryota; Viridiplantae; Streptophyta; Magnoliopsida; Zingiberales; Musaceae. The record is from RefSeq and is a predicted model, not a curated record.